Molecule: ribosomal RNA, 322 nt
Filed under: uncultured eukaryote
Lineage: Eukaryota
Description: partial 18S ribosomal RNA
Rfam family: Eukaryotic small subunit ribosomal RNA
Source: RNAcentral
CCCUUAGAUGUUCUGGGCCGCACGCGUGCUACACUGAGUGGAUCAGCGGGUCAGGUUGCGCGAAAGCGUUUCCUAAUCUUUAAAUCCGCUCGUGAUGGGGAUUGACGGUUGCAAUUUUCUGUCAUGAACGAGGAAUACCUUGUAAGCGCGGGUCAUCAUCCCGCGCUGAAUACGUCCCUGCCCUUUGUACACACCGCCCGUCGCUCCUACCGAUUGAGUGGUCCGGUGAGGCUGUGGGAUCUGAGCGGAAAGAGCGUUUCGCUGUUUCUGCUCGGAAAACUCAGUCGAACCUUAUCAUUUAGAGGAAGGAGAAGUCGUAACA